RNAcentral lists this ribosomal RNA (483 nucleotides) under uncultured bacterium. Its description in RNAcentral is "partial 16S ribosomal RNA". It matches the Rfam family "Bacterial small subunit ribosomal RNA", at positions 28 to 507 of the family's 1533-position model. The record is from RNAcentral.
GACGAACGCUGGCGGCGUGCUUAACACAUGCAAGUCGAACGCUGAAGCUCAGCUUUUGUUGGGUGGAUGAGUGGCGAACGGGUGAGUAACACGUGAGUAACCUGCCCCCUUCUUUGGGAUAACGCCCGGAAACGGGUGCUAAUACUGGAUAUUCACUGGUCUUCGCAUGGGGGGUGGUGGAAAGGGUUUUUCUGGUGGGGGAUGGGCUCGCGGCCUAUCAGCUUGUUGGUGGGGUGAUGGCCUACCAAGGCUUUGACGGGUAGCCGGCCUGAGAGGGUGACCGGUCACAUUGGGACUGAGAUACGGCCCAGACUCCUACGGGGGGCAGCAGUGGGGAAUAUUGCACAAUGGGCGCAAGCCUGAUGCAGCGACGCCGCGUGAGGGAUGGAGGCCUUCGGGUUGUGAACCUCUUUCGCUAAUGGUCAAGCCGCAACAAUGGUUGUGGUGAGGGUAGUGGGUAAAGAAGCGCCGGCUAACUACGUG